Equus quagga is the source of this 12061-nucleotide long non-coding RNA. RefSeq lists it as uncharacterized. Lineage: Eukaryota; Metazoa; Chordata; Mammalia; Perissodactyla; Equidae. The transcript is spliced from 11 exons. The record is from RefSeq and is a predicted model, not a curated record.
UUUAUAUGUGGGACGCCUUCCACAGCAUGGCGUGCCAAGUGGUGCCAUGUCCGAACCGGUGAACCCCGGGCCGCCGAGAAGCAGAACGUGCCAACUUAACUGCUGCGCCACUGGGCCGGCCCCCUUUUGUAGACUAUUUUUAAGCUUCGAUUUAGAAAAGCAGUUUCACCAGCUCACCUUGACAGAACUAAGGGAAGCUCAGAAGAGAUUUCUAAGCUAGAAUGCCAACUUAGUAACUUAGAGGAAAUCAGAUCGAAUAAGAGCCACCUCAUUUCCCACUGCCAAACAUAUCUGCACCAGUGCCCAUAUUCCUCUCGUUGCAAAAGACGAACUGGCCCUGUUCGUAUUUAAAACUAGUCCCAACUGCAGUUGAUUGCUCUCUUGACUACUCAAGGAUUUUGCUCCUAUAGUUACCCCUUCUUUCAUUUGCAUCGUUUUUUCCUCUCUACCCAUAGUCUCCAGCCAAGGAACAUACAAAUCUCGACACCCCUUCCCCCGCUAAGCUACCAUCCCAUUUUUCUGCUCCCUUUCACCGCAAAACUAAAAUUACUCAUGUGCGCUGCCCCACUUAAAAAUCUCCUGUCCUCUCUUUAACUCACAUCAAUGAGGCAUUUAUCCGCUACACCCCACUCAAACAGCACCCUUGUAAAAGACAUCCAUUUUGCAAAAUCCACUGUACUCUACAUCAGCACGUAAAAGACAUCCAUUUUGCAAAAUCCACUGUACUCUACAUCAGCACGUGUGGCCGAUAAUCAUUUGUUCUUUAAACAUUUUCUUGUCUUCAAAUAUGAUGGUGUCUCCUGGUUUUCUAUCUCAGUGGCCAUUCCUGGCAGCUUUGUUGCUGUCCCCUCUGAUGACCCCUAAAAGUUGAAGUGUCCCCCACGCCUGAAAUCUAGUCUCUUCCUAGGUGUCUGAAGGCUUUCAAUUAAAUGUCAUUUAUAUGAUGAUGACUUCCCAAGUUUAUAAAUCAAACUCUGAUCUCCCAAGCUUUUGGGAGAGAGCUGCUUACUGACACCUCUUCUUAUGUGUCAAAUAAACACCUUGUACUUAAUAUUUCCAAAUCAGAAUUAUUUUCAAAGGCAUCCCUACUCAUCCAAGUUUCAGACCAAAAACCUCAGAGUCAUCCUUGAUUCCCUUUGUUCUUCAAACCCGUGUCCAAAGUAUCAGCAAGUCUCGAAGGAUACACCUGAACCAAAUACAUCCUGAACCAAACCACUUCUCACGUUCACUGCUGCUACUACCAAGCUGCCGUCACCUGCCAUAGUAUCACUCAGAUGACAUUCUCAGUUUUGAGCCUUCCACGACCUUCAGUGAGGCUCAGAUAUCUGACACACGAAACUCCUCACUCGUGCUGUGCAGGUCCUACCUGAACUGCACCUACCCUUGUUCCGUAUCCCACUUGUUCUCUGGUCUCCUAGUCUGGGCGCACUGGCCAUUCCUCUAACAAGGCUGGAUGGAUUGCUUAGCACACGAUGCUUUUCUCCUGGACCUUUGCGUGGCUGGCUCAGUAAAUGAAAUUCUUAUUCCCUUUUUGUUUGAUUCCCCCAGCAGAAUGUUCACAAGGACAAGGAUUUGCCUGUUUUGAUUAAAGCUAUAUCUUUAGCACCUAGUUUACUGUCUAAUACUUUGUAGGUACUCUAUAAAUAUUUUUUGAAUGGGUGAAUUAAUAAAUUUAGAAUUUACCUGGGGCACGUUUCCUGGUACACAUGUAACACGUUUCAUAUUUUAAAGUUUUCUUGAAGAGCAAAGAAUGAGAGCAGACAGUGUUUAAGGACUAGUUCUAUCAUGUAUACUUGAUAACUUACCCAGGUUUACUGAUUCUCAUAAACAAUCCCUGGAUUGUACUGGAAGGAUCACUGAAAAAUUCUUUCAGGCCUCCUUUUUUUUAAUUUUUUAUUUUUUUAAGAUACCCUGGGCUAAUUUAAUCAUUGCUUGUGUUGUAUUAAUUUUGUUAUAAUCUCUUUCAUGAGCCCUGAUAGGUACUAGUGUUUCAAGAGCAAUUUAUUUACAGGCCAUUUUUUUAACCUUGCCCCACUAAACUGGCAGUCCUCAGUUUUAGUGACCUGUACUUCAUUUCACCAAAUACAUUAUUUUGUUUUGCUAAUGAUGGACCAAUUUAAUUGAUAAGAUAGUGGUUCUUUUCUGUCUUGAAUUCUUUAAUUCUUAAUGGAUUAAACCACCCUAGGCCCCUUAAAUGACAACAGUUAUCUCCUAUCAAAGAUGAACAAUCAGAUACAAAAGAGAUUAAAAAGCCCCAUUCGAGAUCCCAGUGUUCUCACAAAACAGUCUGGAAUUUUGCGUUUGUACUUAACGGUGCUCCUCGAAAUAUGUAAGUUUCAAGCGAGGGUAUGUUUUGUUAUACUAAGCAUAUUCCACAUACGACAUGAGACAUUAAAAGGCACCAAUGGUGCAUAAAUUGACAAAAUUUGUUUUGAUAUUAAAUAUGCAAAUACCUUAUCCAACACUUGUUCAUAUUAACCAUUUGAAGAUCUGCUAUCUUGGCCAAAUUUAGAUGGAAAAGUCCCCAGAGAAGCAAGAACUUUGAAGAAGUGAGAAAAAUUUCUAAACUCAGCAGAGUAUAUCCUAAAAACUAUAGGAGCAAUCUGGCACACAGUGGGUCUUCAGUAAACACUCAUGAUUGAUCCAAUGUUAAUCUAGCUUACUACUGAAAAUAUUUUUUUCUCUUUUCUGAACAUCUGUUACGUUCUCGGCACUAAAGAUAAAAACUGGGCUCCCUGCUCCUAAGGAGCCCGAGGAAGACAAGACAACGUAUGAGCUCCCGGCAUAAGAGAUGCUGUGAUUCGGCUGUGCCCGAGCUGCGCGGGGACGGGGACGGGGACGGACGCCGCUCGGUCUGCCGCGGGGUCGGGAGGCCGGGCCCGGAAGCUAGUGCAGCUUCGGGACGCCGCAGAGGCAAGGGCGAGCCGGCAGACAGGCGGACAGCGAGGGCUAGACAUUCCUGACUGUCCUUGUCUGCUGUGGUGUUCUCCUGUCUUCCUAGCAGAGCAAGCUCUGAAACUCUCUGGAGUGUGGUCAGACACUACCAUCCACCUGGCUGUUGCUUCUUUGAGGACGUCUGCCCUGGAGCUUUUCUCUUCUUGUCCAGUCUGUAAUGGUUGCUUUCCAAGACUGAUUCCCAACCAUCAGCCUGGGCGUCUCAUCGCCUCAUGCCUGUGCUGGAUCACCUGCUUCCUCAGUUUCUCGUCCUCCUCUUUCUUGGUUUAUUCCCUCAUCUUGGAGGAGUGUAUCUUCCAGUGACUUCCUGGAAAAAAGUUGCAUAGAAGAAAUGUCACCAGAGGCUCACAGGAACAUCGCCCUGUGUUUCCCCUGGGAAAUGGCUAACUCAGUGUUGGCAGCAACUGUAUAGAACUCAGCCAUGAUGAAGCAGUUGAUUCUCGAAGAGGUCAAGUAACUGCCCAAGUCACACAGUUAGCAACAGAUGACUGCUUCUUCAGUGAAUGGCUGAUCAACUCAGUGCGAUGCUUUGUUUGGGGGUGCAGCACAGGAUAGGUGGAAGCUCUCCCCGACCUGCCCAGUGAGAAGAGAUAGGGUGAGCUUCUCUUGUCCUCGAAUCCUCAUUUUGCAUGGGGACCUGCGGCCCUGGGCAGCUCCUUGCCCUGCCUGGGAGUGUGCUGCCUUGUCUUCUGCACCAGGCAGCCAGCUCUCUAAGUUUCUGUGCUCUUUGCCAUGAAAGAAAGUCUCUGCACGCUCUCCGUGCCUGUGAACCUUUCGCCAUCCCCAUCCCCCGCUCCCUCUUCCUGCCAUGAUGACGCAGGCUGGUGUCCGAGUGAUGAGGGAUUUGAUUUACUGGACGUGGUAGAAAGAGGCGCUGGAACUUGAGAAAUCACUUCACCUCUCUCAUGCCUAAGUUUCCCGAUCUGCAGAAAUGGAGAUAACAGCAAACGAAGGCAAGAAAUUCAAGACCGAGAGAGGGCAAGUGAACAAGAAUUACAUUCUGGAUGGAAGAAAGCCCUAAAUAAUAUAAAUCUUGGAGGAGCCAGCCAUCCUAGACCAGAUUCCCAUAAAAAUCAAACCAGGAAGAAAUAAAGAAAAGAAGUUAAAGUUCAUUGCUGAAAAACCAUGUUUUUCUUUUAGCCCCUGGGGGAGGGGGUUAUUAUGUUAGUGUAGGAAUGGGAAUGGUCAAUUUUUCCCAGUAAGAACCUUUUGAUGUGUUACCACGACUCACGGGCUAUGACUCAUGUAUUACAACUCUCACUAGUAUCUGAUAAUAGUUUAUAUUCCUUAACAAGGAGAUAGAUGAAGCAGAGGGAUUACAUAAUUAUUUUCUUUUCAGUUUACACCUUGGAUUGGAUUGGAUAUGACAUGAUAAUUUCAGGAAGAGAAAUUUUUUCUCCCCCCUUUAAAGAAAAAAAAUCUCAUCACUUUCUUCAGUAAUUACAUUUUCAAAAUGCUUGUUAAAAUCAACCUCAGACCUGUUAUUGUCACACUUUGUAAAUUACUAUGUCAAAAAUUAAUUUUUCUAAGGCUAGGAAGAAGGUUAAAUUGAUACGAACCCCCCACCAAGAUAUCUUCACUGUCGUUAGUUAUUCUAACAUACAUUUAUUAUCUAUUUUUGAAUUAUAUUUGUUAUUUUGAAUUAUGUUUAUCAAGAUUUAAAAAUCUAUCAGUUCAUCAAAAUGCAAUUAACUACACUACUUUCCUACCAACCACUUGUGUCAUCAACAGGAUCAAUCAAAUGUAAUAAAAACAUCAAGGCAGCAAUGCUAAUGCUAUUUUAAAUAAAUAUCAUUUAUUCCAUUUUAUUGAAGACUAAGCAUACCUAAUCACAAAUACUCUAAUCUGGGUCCAUUCAAGACCUACUGAACUUGGAAGACAGUUUCAACUUUGUCUAGAUUCUUUUUAAAUGUGUCCUGUUGAGUGUAUUCCUGAAGAAUAAAGGAGUUCAUGCACUAUUUUAGUUCAACUACCUUGAUGCCAUUAGGCCAGGCCUACCCUGACUUUGCAGGAUAUUGAAAUGAUGAUGAAGAUGAUGAUGAACAUAUAUUAUUGAUCUGAGUAAUGACAGUGCUUAGGCACUUUGCAUAUCUGCAUUUUAAUCCAUCCCACAACACUGCAAGUUUGAGGAAACAGCCCUAAAGAGGCGAAAUAAUGUGCCAAAGGUCACUCUGCUAGGGUUGAUGAGCUGGAGUCCCAAACCAGGUCAACCCCUUUCCAGCAUUGACAUGAUGCCUAGAUAAAUAUUCUGCCAAAUGAAAGGAUAAACUUAAUUUGAAGAAUUUUAACAAGGCACUUGAUUCAGGCCAAAAUUAUAAUUUGGAGGCCAAGUCAUUUAGAUUGGUACUCUGCGUUGGUUAACCUAACCAGUCAAUUUCUGUUUCACUGAGUGCCUGUGGAUUUGAGUCUCAAAGAAUAUGCACUUGGAAGAGUUAAGAGGAAAAAAGUUUGAGGCAUCUGUCUUCAAGAAAUUAUCCAAGGCUCACUUGGUGCUGUGGCUCUUCCCUGGAGCCAGCUAUGAAUCAGGACUUAAAUUAAUUUCUUUCUGCCCAGAAGUCUCAAGGCAGCGAUGUUCAGAAGGAGACUCCUGGGCACUAGGACAGCAACAAAAAUGGAAGAAACCUCGCCAGCAAGGUUCUCAAGUGAUGUCACCAAGUUUGUCAGCUUCGCCCAGAUUUCCCAGCUGUGGCCCCCACUGUGAUUGGACUGGGGUCCUGUGCUUCUGGCAGUCAUGUGAGUGUCCCGUGGCCAGAGCCUGACGUUGUCCUUCCAGGCAGGGACUCCAUGUAAGGCAAAAGAGACGCCUCUCAACCCAGCUGGGCUUUCAUUGAAGAGAAUCAAAACAAGAGGCUUAAGAUUCUGUUCCCAGGCCAGGAAUUAUGAGAGGCUGAAAGAUACUAUCCAAGAAAACCCUCCGGAGGACUGCGUAUCCUGUUUUCAAUGUAGCUGAGAUGGCAGAAUUCACAUCUCCCCAAAUGAGGACAGUUACAAACGAUGGAAUGAGUAAGUGCAAAAUUCCACCUACACCCUGAAUACACAGGGCUGUACCUGGCACGGCCCCCCGCAAUCCGAGCUAACAGUCAGCGGUGAGCUCCCUGAAUGGUUUGCCCAGCCUUGAGGUGAACUAAGAAGCAGAUCCAACGCACAGAAGCAAAUUCCAAGUGAGUUUUCUUAAAUAAAGACUUGUGCCUGUCACGCUACAGACAGAGGCCCACCUGGCCUUCGCUUUAAUACUUCCUCAAAUGGACAGUAGUGGGGUGGAGGAGGCAGGAAGAUACAUCUGGGGCCCGUGUGCCACCACAAGCGUUUCCAUGAAAAAUGUCCACACUGGUCAGUCAGUCCAUCAUUCGUUGGAAUCUGAUCGACAUGCCAGCCGAGGCCUCCGUGUCCAGCUGGCUCCUGCAUCUAUAGAACGUCUCAAAACCUCACAUUACCCUGGCUAAAAAACUUGGCCCCUUCCUUGGUUUCCAUCAGAAAUCCAUCUGUACCCACUAUUUUGUGAAUUUUAGUAUAAUUUUACUGAAGGUUUUGGAGGAUGGGUGGCUGAUUGUGACACAGUGUGCAGUGGCCCUGUCUCAGUCCCCAUCCCUUUUUGCUUUUCCUCCUUCUCAGGAGUUCCAUAAAUUAUGGAUAGUAAUUUAGCGAACAUCUGUUGCCUGAGAAAGCCCUGGGAGGCCUUGCUCUGAUCCUCAAGAGGCUGGUCAGAGUACUUCUUCCAAGCACGUACAGUGCUUCCCCAAAGAGAUCUAAUGAAAUAAAAGUUUCCCCAUCUCAUUAUAACUUGACCAAUGACAUGAAUUUUCCAUAUCUCAGCAUUAGUCUAGGCACAGGGAGAAAUAUAGGGGGACGUAAGAUAUGAUUCCCUGUCCGCAAUGCAUUAGAGUCAGUAGGAGAGAGAACGUACAGGAAAUAGCGGGGAAACACUUCAGGACCAAACUGUGUGGUAAUGUCCACGCAGUCAGGGUUGAGAGCGGGGCUAGGUCAGUGUGACUCAGCCAGGGAAAAGGACACCAAGGGAGUCUUGUAGGAUGGGCAGGAUUCGGUUUGGCUGAGUGUAGGGAGGAGAGCUGUUCAGAGUAUGGACAUAGCAUCAACAAAGUAAUGAGUAUGGCAAGAAGGAGUGUGUGCGUGUUUGUGUGUGUGUGUGUGUGUGUGUGUGUGUACCGGGAGGACCUGGGCACUUGCUGAGAACAGAUGAGAAAUAAACUUGGCUGACAGGAUGGAGUGAAAUUAUGAUGGGCCCCAAAAGCCAGAAAGAGAUGUGCACCUUGGGACUAGCGAUACUGGAGAGGCCCAGCAGAUUCCUCUGGGCAGAAAGGGAUCCAUGGGUAAACCACAUGAAGAAGCAAGCCUAGGCUGACAGCAGUGAACAGGCUAUGCUGGGUGGGAGAUGGGCUGUCACUCAGGCCGAGUUAAAUGUUUGGAUUGGGAGGGGUGAGGGGAAGGGAGAUGAAAAGGCAAUCUGAGCAUAUAGGAAGCAUUGCUCCUGGCUGUAGGAGUAAAGGAAAGGGGCCUGACCUGAGGGUGGCAGCCCUCUCUGAGUGCUCUGCUGAGAAUCAGAGAGAGGCGGCCCUGGCUGCGAGAGGGGGGUGCUUUUCCGUCCAGACGUCUGUCUUUCCCUCCGCAGCCCUCCCCUCCUCUCCCGUUAUCAUUCUUUCAUCUUCCGUGCUCAUUUUUGCCGUGACACCUCUACACUCCACCACCAGUAUGUCUUCCUGAGGCUCUGCUUAGACAGGGCUCUUAAUGACCAGCAAAUAAAUAAUAAAUGAGUCGAUCCUGUGUCCUGCUGGGAGGGAGAUCCUCCGAAGUUACUGAGAACCUCCAAGUGUUUGCUGUCAGGAAGAGGUCAACCUGGGGCGAUGGGUAGAUUCCAGGAGGUCCACGAACUUAGAAGUUUACUCACCUCCCACCGAAACCCAGCACUUCCUCCCAUUUAAAUGCAGGCCACAAACCACAGCAGCAUUAGUAGUCCUGUGACGUUGUCACCCAUGGAACUCACAGACAUUUUUAUAUCAUGUUACAGCUGUUCUGGAGCUCAUGAAAUAUCACUUGCACAACUUUGAUAGUUAUAUUAGACCUGCUGUUCGAUCUUGCUGUUAAAUGUGUUAAUAAUGAGGUAAAUAGAUUCUUUAUUUUAAAAAUAUUUGAUUUAAUUUUUUUCUUUUAUAAUCCUAUAUAUUUUACUUUUAAUGCAUACGGAAACAUUAUUCUUAUAAGAGGUCCAUAACCUUCACUGGACUGCCAAACAGUUCCAUGGCACAAGGAAAGGUUAAGAAAGUCGGCCACGUUCUCAUCAGUCGGGGUCUAAGCUGUGUACCUCUUCUGGACUCACUGCAGUCACCGUAAGUAUGACUCACCUAUCAACGAGCUGCCAAAACCGGGGACUCAACAGAACGUGGUUGCCUGGAAACUAAAGCCCCGUUAGAUUGUUACCUUGUUUUUAAGGAAAGAAAGCUUCAGAUGCCUAUGGAAGGCGCCUACGGAAGCUUCCUCGCUCCCACAUAUCUCAAAGACCACCCCCGAGGAUGUCCAGCCCCUACCAGAGAUCAGAGGGCACUCUGCCCUCCUCUGCACUCAUGACUUGCAUCCCGUUCACUUCAUGGUCUGCUGCAGGAGCGGGUAGGGGACCAACAGACUUUGAAAUAAUCAUAAUAAUCCUCCUUGACCUCAAAUAUUUAUUAAGUACUUCCUGCAUAAAGGACCACGUGCUAGAUGCUAUUAUAUUACAAGGAACCUCAGUUUCCUCGUGCAACCAUAAUGAUAUCUCACAUUUUAUUGCUCUUAACAAAGUACUGUCUUACUUCACAUUUAAUUCUCACACUUUUGAGGAUGAUAUUAAAAUAUUCCCCAUCUUAUAUAUGAAGAAACUGAGGCUCAGAGAAGCAAGGAAGUGUGCCCGGCCCGUGGCAGAGCCAGGCCUUGACAGUGAACCCUUGGCUCCCGGCAGCCUGCACUGUGGUCUGGGGGCUUGUGCUGUGCAUGGUGCGGGGACCGCCCCUCUGAACCACAGCUGGGGACCACUUUCUCUGAUGUCCCUUGUGACCAGUGACUGGGGAUGGGUGUGGUUUCUGGUUUCUGGCCUCAUCAGGGCCCUGGCUUCCCUAAUCAGAACCAUGAGAGUGGCCCAGGGGUUAGAAAUGAUGGUGACAAUCGCCAUCUGGUGUUGUGGAAAAAUUCACGGGGUGUUCUCCCCUGUGUUCCCGGGCAUGGCUCUCUUCAUAACCUCUGGGGGAGUAAAUCCUCAGUAUGAGAGCCCACACUGUGGUGAAUAUCCCGUAUGACGCCCCACUUCCUUUUGCUCCUCAGUUCACCUCCUAACUGCAGUUUUCAUUCCCUGAAUCUUGAUUCCUAAAUGAUUAGAUUCUGUAGAUGGAUUAUCUCCAUCAAUUCUGUGUUGAUGUUGCUGAAGUGGAAGACGGUGAAUUCAGCCCGGGUCACGUUGAGUUUAAGGAGGCUCCCCGAGGAUCCAUCCACCAGGAGACGGGUCCUGGCACGCUGCACGGAGAUGUGAACACAGUGCAUUCGUCGUAGAAAUCUAAGCUACCAACCCGAUACUUCGUUGUGAACAUCGUUCUGGCUGCAGUUUUUAAAUUUGGAUGUCAAGGAAAACGAAAUCCUAUUUUUGCAGACUUCUCAACAACUUCAUACCUGAAGAAGAGUACGUGUUAAUGAUUUCAUUUAGAGAUCCUGAGGAAUGUUCCCAUUACGAAGUGUUAAGUAUUCUACCAUGAAGUGAAAAUUUAAAAAUCUAUUUGUAUUACCUUCCAAAAAUAAAACAGUGCGACCUGCGAAAUUGUAGUGUUUCUGCCUCAGAGAUACCAGAGAUGCAAUCACCAGCCGUCUUUAACCAGACCGGAGCCCCAGAACAAGAGCAGCACCCACACAGAUGAGCUGAGAGAGGCCAAGUGAGCAGCGCAAGCCAACACCCACCUCGCCCUUUGAAUGUUCGUUCCCCACCUGAAGUCAAAGGACCCUGCUUCCCCAUGUGCCGGGACAGCCACAACUUUGGAAAUCACUCCACCUGGGCUCCUGUUUGCUGCGAAUAAGCUGGACAUUGUGUGACAACUACUUGUGGUGGAGAACCUGAUUUUAACUCGCCAGGGGGGAACCCACUUUGGUUUGGUAACAAUAACGAGACAACCUCUUCCAAAAUCCCAUCAAUUCUCCACACCUCCACAGGCGGGAAAGCCUUGAAAAUAUAUCUGGCCCUAACAUUUUAGUGGCCAUUAUCUAAACCAUUCUAAUGUCUGCUUCUUUUCAGAAAUAACAUUAACAACCCACCCAAAUGUUUUCUUUUGAGGCUGUGUUGGCUAUCGAGUGUUAAAUAGGGAAUUUGUUGACUGAAACAAAUGUUUUGGGUCUCCUUAAAACCGUUGCCAAAACAAAUGCAGCCCUUGGCCAACUCUCCUCCAACGAAGCUGUGAUUGGAACGGAGCCGCGACUGGAACGGAGCUGCUUAUCCACGAUCCAGGGCGCAGGCCCAGUUUAGCUGAAUCACCUGGGUUUUCUGCCGGGUGGCUUCAGGGGUUUCUGACCCUCCACUGGACACUGGCAGUGAGACUUUGGUGCCAAGGGCCAGGGGAAGGCACCUAGGGAGCUGUGUGGCUUGUCAUUACUGCCCAGUUUGCUGCUUCAUAACCACGGUUCUCUCUGAGAGCCUCACAGCUGUCCUUGGAAGAGGGCAAACUUGGUUGUCCCCAUCUUAAUAGUUCUUUCACAUUUUUUUUCCAGAUGUGGAAACUGAGACACUAAGAGGACACUAAGAGAAAGUAACAUGACUUUGCGUCAUCAUUUGAUUUUGUGAUUUAGAAACUCCAAGUAGAGUGAGAGGUCAUUCCCUGGGUCUCUAGAGGCUGGCUUGGCCUCCACGGCCUGUGGCCCUUCUGCGGUAAAAUGUAGGGGCACAGCCCUCUUCUCUGAGAUCUUACCUCUUUGGAUUUCCUGUGUGCUGGAGACUAUGCCAAAUUGGGGGAAAUCUACGUCUAUUACUAGGGCAAAUCUCACUUGUUCCUGAGAUGGCUCAGAGAGUUGAGGGCUUGACUGGCGCUGCUCCACCUGCACCUGGCUGCACGGUCAGCAGGCACCUGUGUUGCCCGCAGCCACAAAGGGCAAGGAAUGACAGGCCCAGAGUUCCCUAGGAUGGAGCGGCUGUGGAUGGUGGCAUGCAUCUGGAAACUGCACUCUAAACCAGGCCUAGGCUCUGUCUGAGGCUGCCCAGAACUUUCCUGGUGGCCUGAGAGCAGCUGCAGAUGAACAGGCCCGGCAGGAGUUGCACAGAGAACAUCCCUACAGUGAAUCUUUGCCCAGAGGAGCCUGAGCACAGGAUGCCAGGGCAGCGCCUUGUGGGGUCUUGAGAUGGGGGAACCGCGAGCAAGAGCGGGACGCGAGGCAAAAUAAAAGGCGUAGCAGAGCCCGCCGCCAGGGACGUCAUUCGCUGGGCGGCCAUCAUGAAGUAUCAGACUGCCGGGCUGAAACGCGUGUUUCCUCCGUCUGGAGGCUCGGAGUGCGAGACCCAGGCGGCGCAGGUUUGGUUUCUCCAAGGCCCAUCUCCUGGGUUGCAGAUGGCCGCCUGCUCCGCGUGUCCUCACGUGGUCUUCCUUCUGUGUCUGUCUGUCCCCAUCUUCUUAUAAGGACACCGCGGAUUAGGGCCCACCCUCAUGACCUCAUUUUAACCUACUUACCUCUCUGGGCCCUACCUUCAGAUAGAGUCACACUCUGAGGUUCUAGGGGUUAGGACUCAACAUGCGAGUCUGGCGGGGACACGGCUCACCCCAGAACCACCAGCGAGAGUCAGGAAGCCUGUGAGUUGGUGCGCGCGGGGGACCCGCGGCCGCUGCCCGGAACCCGCACCUGCCCAGGCAGGCCCGGCGGCCGGCUGGAGACCCCCGCGGGCCAGCGUGAACCUCCGGAGCGCCGGGCGCGGGCUCGUGGGGAGCCGCGGGGCCGCCUCCUCUCUUCGCGGGGCUGCUGCACACGGUCUCUCAGCGCCUCGGGCCCGUCCCCGCACCUGCGAGCCUGCGGGGGCGCCCUGGAGAGCGGCGGGGGCGGCCCUCCCCGUGGGAGCGGGGGCGGGGGCGGCCCCCCCGGGGGACGGGGGCACAGGCGG